Molecule: ribosomal RNA, 464 nt
Filed under: uncultured bacterium
Lineage: Bacteria
Description: partial 16S ribosomal RNA
Rfam family: Bacterial small subunit ribosomal RNA
Source: RNAcentral
GACGAACGCUGGCGGCGUGCUUAACACAUGCAAGUCGUACGGUAAGGCCCUUUCGGGGUUCCCCGGUGGCGAACGGGUGAGUAACCCGUUUGUAACCCUCCCCCCACCUUUGGGUAACGCUUGGAAACUGGUUCUAAUUCUUGAUAUUUGCUCCUUCUUCCUUGGUGGGGUUUGAAAACCUCGGGGGUUUUGGGUGGACUCGGCGCCCUUCAGCCUGUUGGUUGGGUUGUGGCCCUCCAAGGCCGCGUCGGGUAGCCGGCCCUGGAGGGUGAGCGGCCACCUUGGGACCGGGAUACGGCCCAGACUCCUACGGGAGGCAGCAGUGGGGAAUAUUGCAAAAUGGGCGGAAGCCUGAUGCAGCAACGCCGCGUGCGGGAUGACGGGCUUCGGGUUGGAAACCGCUUUCAGCAGGGACGAAGCUUUUUGUGACGGUACCUGCAGAAGAAGCACCGGCUAACUACGUG